Long non-coding RNA from Ipomoea nil (Japanese morning glory), 765 nucleotides. RefSeq lists it as uncharacterized. The record is from RefSeq and is a predicted model, not a curated record. The transcript has 2 exons. Lineage: Eukaryota; Viridiplantae; Streptophyta; Magnoliopsida; Solanales; Convolvulaceae.
AGCUCUUGUGAUUUCAGCUUCUUUGUUGGUGAAUCUUCACUUCUGCGUUUGGCACCGCCAUGUCCGAAAUUGAGUCUCAAAAACCUAAGCCUGCGCACAACUUCCCUCCUCCACCUUCAAGUGACUCACGGCAGGCCAGAGUACCGAUUCAGAGCUCCAAUGGAGGUGGGUUUUCUGGCGGUCAAUCGUUCCCUAACCCACCCGACCGGGUGAACCCGGACCCGGCCACUCUCAGGGAGCAAUGGAAAUUCGCAAUUAGGCAGUAUAGCAAGUGGUAUUCGCACGCAUGGGGCACUGCGAUACUCGCGGGUGCAUCCUUUUUUGCUCUUGGAUGGAUCAUUAAAGGCGGCAACCCCUUGCCCUCUCUCGAGUCGGGUCGCAAGAACGCUCUAUCUGAAGAUCCAAAUGCUGCUGUCGAGGUCAAAAAGUGAAAAAAAUAAUAAUAAUAUGAACUUUAUUUUGGAGUUUCAAAAGCUCAAGACUGGUUCGUUGGCAUCUCGGUAGAUGAAAGGCUGGUGGGUGAAAACUAGAACGGGGAAGAUAUGAGCUUGGUUCAGGAUAAAUAUUCUCCAGCAGGGUGCAGUAGAUCACAAUAAAGAAUGGCAAUGACUUGAAAUUUCUGUAAUUAUCCAAAAUUUUCUGUGUGAAUAGAAUAAGAUAUAUACCAUGUGCAAGCUUUGGCUUGAAACUUCUUGCACUCCUGUGGUUGUGUUAAACAAAGAUGAAAAGAAUGAGAUAAUGAAAGUUUCCCUUUUUACAUGCAUA